Molecule: small nucleolar RNA, 99 nt
Filed under: Peromyscus maniculatus bairdii (prairie deer mouse)
Lineage: Eukaryota; Metazoa; Chordata; Mammalia; Rodentia; Cricetidae
Description: Small nucleolar RNA SNORD23 (ENSPEMG00000006598.2)
Source: RNAcentral
UGUUUUAUCCUGGUUUCCUGUAGUCUCUGGGGGCUGUGGGUAACUCCAUGCCUGCCCUAGGGCUGAGUCAGUUGGUCUUAUGCCUGGGGGCCAAAGGCA